CCCGAUGGAGGGGGAUAACUACUGGAAACGGUAGCUAAUACCGCAUAACGUCGCGAGACCAAAGUGGGGGACCUUCGGGCCUCACACCAUCGGAUGUGCCCAGAUGGGAUUAGCUAGUAGGUGGGGUAAUGGCUCACCUAGGCGACGAUCCCUAGCUGGUCUGAGAGGAUGACCAGCCACACUGGAACUGAGACACGGUCCAGACUCCUACGGGAGGCAGCAGUGGGGAAUAUUGCACAAUGGGCGCAAGCCUGAUGCAGCCAUGCCGCGUGUAUGAAGAAGGCCUUCGGGUUGUAAAGUACUUUCAGCGGGGAGGAAGGCGGUGAAGUUAAUAGCUUCACCGAUUGACGUUACCCGCAGAAGAAGCACCGGCUAACUCCGUGCCAGCAGCCGCGGUAAU
This 400-nucleotide ribosomal RNA is filed under the name uncultured bacterium. Its description in RNAcentral is "bacterial SSU rRNA". It matches the Rfam family "Bacterial small subunit ribosomal RNA", at positions 129 to 524 of the family's 1533-position model. The record is from RNAcentral.